Molecule: ribosomal RNA, 380 nt
Filed under: uncultured cyanobacterium
Lineage: Bacteria; Bacillati; Cyanobacteriota
Description: bacterial SSU rRNA
Rfam family: Bacterial small subunit ribosomal RNA
Source: RNAcentral
CGAAAGCCUGACGGAGCAAUACCGCGUGAGGGAGGAAGGCUUUUGGGUUGUAAACCUCUUUUCUCAAGGAAGAAAAAAAUGACGGUACUUGAGGAAUAAGCAUCGGCUAACUCCGUGCCAGCAGCCGCGGUAAUACGGAGGAUGCAAGCGUUAUUCGGAAUUAUUGGGCGUAAAGCGUCCGCAGGUGGUAUUUCAAGUCUGCUGUCAAAGACCGAAGCUUAACUUCGGAAAGGCAGUGGAAACUGAAAAACUAGAGUACGGUAGGGGUAGAGGGAAUUUCCAGUGUAGCGGUGAAAUGCGUAGAGAUUGGAAAGAACACCAGUGGCGAAGGCGCUCUACUGGGCCGUAACUGACACUCAGGGACGAAAGCUAGGGGAGCG